This is a long non-coding RNA of Etheostoma spectabile (orangethroat darter), 2076 nucleotides long. RefSeq lists it as uncharacterized. The record is from RefSeq and is a predicted model, not a curated record. The transcript has 3 exons. NCBI's taxonomy places the organism in Eukaryota, Metazoa, Chordata, Actinopteri, Perciformes, Percidae.
UCUGGUCCGGUUGGUGACAGUAAUGUGCGAAUGCGCAUGUGUAUGACUGCGCGGUGCUUUUAGUAGGUAGUAAGUUCUGUGGUCUUCCUGCGCGGCUUUCUGUGGCGUUAACGUUGCAUUUGACUUUUUCAAAUGAACAAAACAAAUUAAACAAUGUCAUUAACAAAAUAUAUUCAGAGAUUUUACGACGGUAAAACAGCCGCAAUCCAGUAGGAAACAUUGCUGGAGGAAGAGUAUUUUUCAGAACGAGGACAUUUUUUGCGACGUAAAGGAGGAGUGGGGCGCCAUUGAAGGAUUGGAGCAGCACAGAACACAUUUCACACUUAAGAAGACCCAGCCGGCCACCUGUUCACCUGAGGGAGAAAGCCCUGUCUUCAGCCCUGUCUUCCACCUGUCUUCAGCCCUGUCUUCCACCUGUCUUCAGCCCUGUCUUCCACCUGUCUUCAGCCCUGUCAAAUAACCAUUCCAUGUGGCAGCAGCAUGUUGGUGGACAAGUUCCAGGCGCCAUGGGAAAAAAUGAGGCCCUCUCUUGUAAGAGACAUUGUUGCUGGAUGUUGGAGACGUACCAGGAGGAAGUGGCUCUUCGGGCAGUAGUCAAUGAGAAGCAAGUGCCUUCAGGAAUCACCUUUUUCAAACUCCCCACACGUCAUUUAUACUCAACCUUUAGGUUUUUAUGUGUUACAGACCUUGGAUAGAUAUACUGAGGAUUUGGUUUGCCGUUAAUUUUGCUUUCUAAUUUAGCUACCUUAAAAAGCUUAGUGGUUACUUAAUGUCAUUCAGAGGUUUUGUAGUAUAAAGUCAGAAGAGUAAAACAAAUUUUACUUUGGGCUUGCAUGCUGUAAACUGGCAUAUAAAUUGAUUUAUUAAGACUGCCCUAAAUGUUUCAUAUAUUGUACAGUGUGCUAUGAAUGGUACAAACUAUUUAACAAGAUAUGUUAACAUUUUCUGCUUGGGUUUUGUUUGUAUCACAUUCCUGUCUUUUUCCCAUUGAUUUUCAUUGAAUUGGAAAACCAACUUAAUUGUGGACGUAACCAACUCUAUGUAAAUCCAGUGCACACAGCUUUAGAAAGUCAUAUAAUAUAAAAUUGAAUCAAGAAAGUGAGGAAAUCUUAUAAUUGUACAUGGUAGUUCACUUACAGUCCUAUCAAAGCAAAAUGGCAACAUUCAUAGCUUUAUGUUGACCCAGUUGGUUUUGAAAGUAAAUAUCUGAAAAUGCUAUCAAUAAUGUAAAUAAAAUUAGAUGUUUUUGUUUUAUGAAGGAUUUUAGUUGUACUUUUUUAUAUGGGGGUGGAAAUGUUUAAGCUGAAAUGUUUGACUUAAAAAGGGGCUGUAUGCUGCUGCAUUUCAAGUCCUAUUUUGUAGUCUUGUGAUCACUGUGUAAUAGCUUCCGCUAGCUAGUUUUAGAUGUAAACUCCAACAUUAACAUUAGUACAGAUGCUUUGGACGGCUGGUUCAAAGGCAGCGUAUAACAGCUGCUGCUGCAAGCUAUUGUUUGCAACAGCUAGCAUUUACAACAAGUAAAGCUAUCUGUCCAUCAGGAAACUUUAUAAAUCACAGCAUUGAGGCAGAGCAGCCAGAGGACUUCAGAAUGAAAACCAGAAAACAUGUAUACCUUUUCUUCAUAACCGUACUAGCACUUUCUGUGUGACACACUGAACGCGCUCCAACUCAAUUCUGUCGUCCUGUGCUUUCUGGAUGGACUGGGCCGAUGGGGCAGCGCUGUUCCUGUGUUUUGUGGGUGUGACCUGUGUGCUCAGCCAGCAGCCAGAUAUAGGAAACUGGCUCAGUGUGUUGUCACACAGAGCCAAGACUAAAGAAAACUGCUGAAAACAAUUCUGAACACUGGGUGAUCAGAUUUUUUGUCUCACAGGGAUUUCUUUUAAAUAUGUUUAGCUCAUUAUUUGACGCUUUGGCCAUGUUUAACAUGAACAUCUGGCAUUGUAACAUCAUAGAUAUGAAGGUCUCCUUUAACAAAUAGUAUAAAUCAAAAGAGGUUUCUGGGCUCUAUUCUAACAUAAAUUAAUAGUAUAUACUACUACACUGUAAUAUAAAUUGUCAAUGUGGAAAUUUAAGUAA